Molecule: non-coding RNA, 115 nt
Organism: Acanthosepion pharaonis
Lineage: Eukaryota; Metazoa; Mollusca; Cephalopoda; Sepiida; Sepiidae
Source: the annotation of a GenBank genome assembly
UUACGGCCAUAUCAUGUUGAAACUACCGAUUCCCGUACGAUCUCCGAAGUUAAGCAACGUCGAGCCAUGUCAGUACCUAGAUGGGUGACCAAUUGGGAAUACCAGUUGCUGUAAG